Long non-coding RNA from Hemicordylus capensis (graceful crag lizard), 682 nucleotides. RefSeq lists it as uncharacterized. The transcript has 2 exons. The record is from RefSeq and is a predicted model, not a curated record. NCBI's taxonomy places the organism in Eukaryota, Metazoa, Chordata, Lepidosauria, Squamata, Cordylidae.
GGAUCUGCCCCUGGCACUGACCCAGCGAGCUCCCAAGGCUGGGCACGCCCGUGCACAAGUGGUGGGGAGCCGGAUCCCGGGGGGAGGGAAAGACAGAAGUGCGGAGCCAGCAUGGAUAGUGUGUGUGUGUGUGUGUGUGUGGGGAGGGAUUAGCAAGGAUGAUGUGGGGGCAAGCGUGGCCUGGAACGGGAAGCCACCAUGGCCCAGGGUUGGGCGAACAGCUGGUGUGAAAGAUUCCUAUUCCGACGGGUGAUUUUCUGGGGUUGCCACUUGGAACUGAAGCUGUUCCUAGGAUGUCCCCCCCCACUCCGUCCUCAUGAAUAUUUAUCUGGACAGGUGACAAGAACCUGGUGGAAAGGUCUAAACCCAUGAAGCCAGUAUGGCAUUUACUGCACUUUCAUUGUUGUCUGUGAGCUGCUGUCAAAAGGUGGAACAAAAGUAAAUAAUACAGCCACAAACAUCUGGUAUAACACGCAUCUGAUGAUGUAACUGCUGUAAUUGCAUAUUCUUCCCCUGAUUACCCCUUCUUCGUUUCUGUUCCUUUCCUCUGUUGUCUCCCUUGUGUCUGUUUCUGGAUUGUAACUCCCUCGGGGCAGGGACCUGCCCUCGCAUUCUUUGUAAAGCAUGGUGCUUUAUGGUACAUGAGUGGUUUAUAAUAAAAAUAAGAACAAGUAGGCCGUCA